Long non-coding RNA from Anas platyrhynchos (mallard), 2630 nucleotides. RefSeq lists it as uncharacterized. The record is from RefSeq and is a predicted model, not a curated record. Lineage: Eukaryota; Metazoa; Chordata; Aves; Anseriformes; Anatidae.
CUGGAAUAUGAAAUUUCAGUUCUGCUGGAAGCCUUCCAAUUUCAACAUUUAUUUUUCUUCCUUGAAAGAAGAAGGCAAAGGGGGAAGCACGCAGAGGCAGGGGGGCGGGGGGCUAGUUGCAGCGGCAUGCAGCAGUCUCACCAAUGAAUCCUGACACUUUGUUUUUGUUCAGGCUUCUCAGAAAUGCUUAUUUGGGAACGGGGCAUUUUCAAAUGUCAUAUUGUGAUGGAAAAUGCCUUAUCUAGUAAUACUAGCUAACCUUCCUCCGGCUUGAGAUGCCUGAAAAAAAUCUCACUUGGCUCGGCUCCACGCAGCUGACGGCCGACCCCCUUCCAGCCCCAUGGCCACAGGGGGCACAGGCUGGCCCCUCUGCGCCCGGGGUCCCUGCAGGUUGCCAAGAGGUUGCAUUUGGAAAGGGGGCUUGCCCCCACUGCUGGGAGGGCUAAAGGACAUGCUGCAACUAUCACGCAUGCUUCAGAAGCCCGGGUUUGAAAGCAGCAGUUGAGAUCUGCUUGAUUAAACAUUCACUGUGUUCCCAGGACUGGGCUGCUGCUCCUCAGAUAACUGGGAGUAAAUCACAGGCAAUUAGCGAUUUGUCUGAGGUGCUCCUUGACUCAGAGCCCUGUAGCGAAAUCCUACCGUUACUCAUUAGCCCACACAUCCUCCUUCCUCUCCGGGUGGCAUCCGAGCAGCCUCGUCGGGGUGCAGGGAGCACGGCGAUGUCACUUCACGUUUAUCUAGGAAAAAAGUUUCCCACACUCCUUCGUGGCUCUUUUUGUUUUGAUUCAGAGAUUUUGUUUUUCUGGAGAGUUAAAAUAAAUCUCGAACUGCAGCAGCAGCACUUUUCUGAACGCAGUGUUUGUUGCUAGAUAAUCCUGUGAGGGAAACAUGCUAAAAAGCAGUGCAGCAGACUUGUCACCAGUCCAGAGCUGGCUGAACGAGGCUGAUCCAGUAGUUAAAAUGUGGUGUGACAUUUAUGCGUGGCGUAAAGCACUUGCGGUCACUCGGAGCUUGUGACCACUGCUUCUCUUCUUUCUGGACACGGACUGCUCCUCACGGCCUUUCUCUCCGACCAUUCAAGCUGUCAUGGCAGUGUACCAUCAAAAGUGACUGGAGUGACAUUAAUGGAAGUUAAACAGGGUGUUGACCUUCUCCAGAAGGUCUGAACCAGCACUUAGAGCCUCCACCUCACUGCACAUUUGUGUGGUUUGAGAAUGCCUCCUGUGCGAUGGUCGGGGUGCUUCCAUCUGGAGGGCUGUUUCCAAGAGAGCCCAGAAAAUAGCACUCUCUUUGCAGGAGAUUGGAUAUUUGUAGGCCAGAUUCAGACUUGGUGUUACCUGGAACAACUCUAUUGACUUCAGCGAGGUUUCACUCAGUGGUGGGACGCAGAAAAUGGCCCGACAAAUACGAUUUUCAAAAUAAUCAACGGUCUUUUCUGAAAAAUAAAAAAGUUAAGAAAAAGAAAGAAAAGAGGAAAACCACAGCUGUACUGCAAGCAGUGCCCCAGCAAUCCUACGACAGCAGACCAGGCUGGCUGUAACUACGGAAGGUGGCAGGGGCAGAAAGGAAUGCCUCCGUUUCUCAGUUUGGCUUUUUUUCCCCAAGUGAAGAAAGUUGCUAUUGUUGUUAGUUUGUUUUGAAACUGAUAGAAAAUGCUGAGUGAAAUGACUGAAGACUGAAUUGCUGGAAAUAUCUGUGAGAUGAGUUUUGGAAGGCAGCAGCCAUCAUACACAUUCCCAUCCGUAGACCACGCCACCCUUAGCGAGCGGGCACAGGACUACUGCAAUGGAAAAAAUGAGCAGUUGUGGCCUCCCAGCCUCUCCCUCCUUGUAGAGAACUCAGAGGAACAUCCCGGUGGAGGCACUUUGGAAAGUGCCAUGCCACUUUCCUUGCCAUCCUCCACUUUCCUUGCCAUCCUACCCUCGUUACGUACAAGCCGGCUCUGUAAUUAUCCCUCUGCUGACCAUGGGUAUUUUCCAGAAGUGACUCCUCACUCAAGAUAACCAAAACACCAGAGGGCAGCAGAAGUGUUAGAGCAGGAAUUGCAAAAGCAUCGACCUUCCCAGAAAAGCACCCCUAGGACAGAGAAAUGGCACCGUGUAAGAGGUUGAUAAUGCCUAAACGUUACUGAUUCAUAGUGAAAGUGGAAGAAAAGCAAUGUAAUCAUGACACUACCAAAGCCGUGCAACGGUUACUUCUGAGCAGCACUGAUGGAAGCUGUCAUGACCCACAUGUGUGAAAAAUAGAAGAGAAAUACUGACAGGCUGCUGAGAGUGAUAGAUACAGGAGGUCUUUAAUUCUCAGUGAAUCAUACAAUAGUGUGAUGGCUCCUAAAAACUGUGUGCUCCCUCCUCUACUGAAGAAGCCAUAUGUAUCCCACCCUCUGGACUAGGGAGUGCAGAUCUGCAUAAGCACCUUCUCCAGACAGCAACACUUGCCAGUUCUUCUUGCCUCUUCCAUCUGAUGCGGGUAAUUAAAACCAGGAUCGUGGAUUGUAACCCUCUGGGGCCGUCUUACAAUCUCCAGGCAGUCCCAUGGCACAGGUGUCUGCCACUCCUUAGGGUGGAAAAAUCAUGAGAUGUUAGACAGAGCACCAAAUCCAGCUCACUUCUUCCCAUUUAGGAAGAAAA